This 280-nucleotide long non-coding RNA is filed under the name Olea europaea (common olive). Its description in RNAcentral is "long non-coding RNA (OEUR_LNC003129)". Lineage: Eukaryota; Viridiplantae; Streptophyta; Magnoliopsida; Lamiales; Oleaceae. The record is from RNAcentral.
GAUAAGUAUUCUUGUGCUAUUUCUAUGUAUUAGUUAAACAUUGUAAUUUUUUGUUGUCAUUUUGGGCUAUUUAGUGCAACCGAGCACAAUCUAAUUUAUUCGAUACUCAGCGAGGGAUGUAGGCGUUGGAUAUGGUCAUCGAACCUUUGGAGUUUAGGCCACAAGAAGUCUCUUGUGCUCAAUCUUUAAAUUCUGCACAUUUUACAUUUUGCAAGAUCAUUUAUUUUGCUUCUUGACACUAACAUUGUGUAAACCUAACCUUACAUUAUUCAAUAUUGAC